RNAcentral lists this transfer RNA (68 nucleotides) under Marmota monax (woodchuck). RNAcentral's name for it is "tRNA.Ala". The stretch from base 5 to 65 matches the Rfam family "tRNA", at positions 6 to 65 of the family's 71-position model. From Rfam's summary of the family: Transfer RNA (tRNA) molecules are approximately 80 nucleotides in length. Lineage: Eukaryota; Metazoa; Chordata; Mammalia; Rodentia; Sciuridae. The record is from RNAcentral.
GGAUUGUGGCUGAGUGGUAGAGCACUCGCCUAGCAUGUGCGAGGCUCUGAGUUCAAUCCUCAGCACCA